CAAUAGCGUAUAUUUAAGUUGUUGCAGUUAAAAAGCUCGUAGUUGGAUUUCGGUUGAGAACGGCCGGUCCGCCGUUUGGUGUGCACUGGCUGGUUUCAACUUCCUGUAGAGGACACGCUCUGGCUUCACGGCUGGACGCGGAGUCUACGUGGUUACUUUGAAAAAAUUAGAGUGUUCAAAGCGGGCUUACGCUUGAAUAUUUCAGCAUGGAAUAACACUAUAGGACUCCUGUCCUAUUUCGUUGGUCUCGGGACGGGAGUAAUGAUUAAGAGGAACAGUUGGGGGCAUUCGUGUUUCAUUGUUAGAGGUGAAAUUCUUGGAUUUAUGAAAGACGAACUUCUGCGAAAGCAUUUGCCAAGGAUGUUUUCAUUAA
RNAcentral lists this ribosomal RNA (373 nucleotides) under uncultured eukaryote. RNAcentral's name for it is "partial 18S ribosomal RNA". It matches the Rfam family "Eukaryotic small subunit ribosomal RNA", at positions 592 to 976 of the family's 1831-position model. The record is from RNAcentral.